ACUCCUACGGGAGGCAGCAGUGAGGAAUCUUAGACAAUGGGCGCAAGCCUGAUCUAGCCAUGCCGCGUGUGUGAUGAAGGCCUUAGGGUCGUAAAGCACUUUCGCCAGAGAUGAUAAUGACAGUAUCUGGUAAAGAAACCCCGGCUAACUCCGUGCCAGCAGCCGCGGUAAUACGGAGGGGGUUAGCGUUGUUCGGAAUUACUGGGCGUAAAGCGCACGUAGGCGGACCAGCAAGUUGGGNGGAAUGCCAUGGCCGGCUCAACCCGCACGACUGCCUCAAAACUGUUGGUCUUGAGUUCGAGAGAGGUGAGUGGAAAUUCCGAGUGUAGAGGUGAAAUUCGUAGAUAUUCGGAGGAACACCAGUGGCGAAGGCGGCUCACUGGCUCGAUACUGACGCUGAGGUGCGAAAGUGU
Molecule: ribosomal RNA, 413 nt
Filed under: uncultured bacterium
Lineage: Bacteria
Description: bacterial SSU rRNA
Rfam family: Bacterial small subunit ribosomal RNA
Source: RNAcentral